This 465-nucleotide ribosomal RNA is filed under the name Vreelandella stevensii. Its description in RNAcentral is "partial 16S ribosomal RNA". It matches the Rfam family "Bacterial small subunit ribosomal RNA", at positions 338 to 795 of the family's 1533-position model. Lineage: Bacteria; Pseudomonadati; Pseudomonadota; Gammaproteobacteria; Oceanospirillales; Halomonadaceae. The record is from RNAcentral.
CCUACGGGUGGCAGCAGUGGGGAAUAUUGGACAAUGGGCGAAAGCCUGAUCCAGCCAUGCCGCGUGUGUGAAGAAGGCCUUCGGGUUGUAAAGCACUUUCAGUGGGGAAGAAAGCCUUGGGGCUAAUACCCUCGAGGAAGGACAUCACCCACAGAAGAAGCACCGGCUAACUCCGUGCCAGCAGCCGCGGUAAUACGGAGGGUGCGAGCGUUAAUCGGAAUUACUGGGCGUAAAGCGCGCGUAGGCGGUCUGAUAAGCCGGUUGUGAAAGCCCCGGGCUCAACCUGGGAACGGCAUCCGGAACUGUCAGGCUAGAGUGCAGGAGAGGAAGGUAGAAUUCCCGGUGUAGCGGUGAAAUGCGGAGAGAUCGGGAGGAAUACCAGUGGCGAAGGCGGCCUUCUGGACUGACACUGACGCUGAGGUGCGAAAGCGUGGGUAGCAAACAGGAUUAGAUACCCUGGUAGUC